RNAcentral lists this transfer RNA (87 nucleotides) under Thiemannella venezuelensis. RNAcentral describes it as "Planomonospora venezuelensis tRNA-Ala". The record is from RNAcentral. Lineage: Bacteria; Bacillati; Actinomycetota; Actinomycetes; Streptosporangiales; Streptosporangiaceae.
CCGGGCGGACCGGGAGGCGUCUCGCCCGGCUCGCCACCGGGACCGCCCGGCGGCGUCCCGCCCGGUCCGGGUCCGGGGCGCCCGGGC